GGGGCUGUGGCUCACUGGUAAAGUAUCUGCUUGGUAUGUAGAAAGUCCCUGGUUCAGUCCAGGGUAUCUCCA
This 72-nucleotide transfer RNA is filed under the name Sphaerodactylus townsendi. Its description in RNAcentral is "tRNA-Thr". It matches the Rfam family "tRNA". From Rfam's summary of the family: Transfer RNA (tRNA) molecules are approximately 80 nucleotides in length. Their secondary structure includes four short double-helical elements and three loops (D, anti-codon, and T loops). The record is from RNAcentral. Lineage: Eukaryota; Metazoa; Chordata; Lepidosauria; Squamata; Sphaerodactylidae.